UAACGCGUGAGGAACCUGCCUCAAAGAGGGGGACAACAGUUGGAAACGGACUGCUAAUACCGCAUAAGCCCACAGCUCGGCAUCGAGCAGAGGGAAAAGGAGUGAUCCGCUUUGAGAUGGCCUCGCGUCCGAUUAGCUAGUUGGUGAGGUAAUGGCCCACCAAGGCGACGAUCGGUAGCCGGACUGAGAGGUUGAACGGCCACAUUGGGACUGAGACACGGCCCAG
This 226-nucleotide ribosomal RNA is filed under the name uncultured bacterium. RNAcentral's name for it is "partial 16S ribosomal RNA". It matches the Rfam family "Bacterial small subunit ribosomal RNA", at positions 111 to 334 of the family's 1533-position model. The record is from RNAcentral.